Molecule: ribosomal RNA, 497 nt
Filed under: uncultured bacterium
Lineage: Bacteria
Description: partial 16S ribosomal RNA
Rfam family: Bacterial small subunit ribosomal RNA
Source: RNAcentral
GAUGAACGCUGGCGGCGUGCCUAAUACAUGCAAGUCGAGCGAACGGACGAGAAGCUUGCUUCUCUGAUGUUAGCGGCGGACGGGUGAGUAACACGUGGAUAACCUACCUAUAAGACUGGGAUAACUUCGGGAAACCGGAGCUAAUACCGGAUGAUAUUUUGAACCGCAUGGUUCAAAAGUGAAAGACGGUCUUGCUGUCACUUAUAGAUGGAUCCGCGCUGCAUUAGCUAGUUGGUAAGGUAACGGCUUACCAAGGCAACGAUGCAUAGCCGACCUGAGAGGGGGAUCGGCCACACUGGAACUGAGAAACGGUCCAGAAGCCUACGGGAGGCAGCAGUAGGGAAUCGUCCGAAAAGGGCGGAAGCCUGACGGAGCAACGCCGCGUGAGUGAUGAAGGUCUUCGGAUCGUAAAACGCUGUUAUUAGGGAAGAACAUAUGUGUAAGUAACUGUGCACAUCUUGACGGUACCUAAUCAGAAAGCCACGGCUAACUACGUG